GAGUUUGAUCAUGGCUCAGAUUGAACGCUGGCGGCAUGCCUUACACAUGCAAGUCGAACGGCAGCACGGGAGCAAUCCUGGUGGCGAGUGGCGAACGGGUGAGUAAUAUAUCGGAACGUGCCCAGUCGUGGGGGAUAACGCAGCGAAAGCUGUGCUAAUACCGCAUACGAUCUCUGGAUGAAAGCGGGGGACUCGCAAGAGCCUCGCGCGAUUGGAGCGGCCGAUAUCAGAUUAGCUAGUUGGUGGGGUAAAAGCUCACCAAGGCGACGAUCCAUAGCUGUUCUGAGAGGAAGAUCAGCCACACUGGAACUGAGACACGGUCCAGACUCCUACGGGAGGCAGCAGUAGGGAAUCUUGGGCAAUGGGCGCAAGCCUGACCCAGCCAUGCCGCGUGUGUGAAGAAGGCCUUAGGGUUGUAAAGCACUUUCAGUCGUGAAGAAAUAUUCAUAGUUAAUAGCUAUGAGUCUUGACGUUAACGACAGAAGAAGAUCCGGCUAACUCCGUGCCAGCAGCCGCGGUAAUACGGGGGGAUCGAACGUUAAUCGGAAUUACUGGGCGUAAAGCGCGCGUAGGCGGUUUGUUAAGUGAGAUGUGAAAGCCCUGGGCUCAACCUGGGAACUGCAUUUCAAACUGGCAAGCUAGAGUAUGGUAGAGGCCGGUAGAAUUUCCUGUGUAGCGGUGAAAUGCGUAGAUAUAGGAAGGAAUACCGAUGGCGAAGGCAGCCGGCUGGACCAAUACUGACGCUGAGGUGCGAAAGCGUGGGGAGCAAACAGGAUUAGAUACCCUGGUAGUCCACGCCGUAAACGAUGACAACUAGCCGUUGGACUCCUUGAGGGUUUAGUGGCGCAGCUAACGCGAUAAGUUGUCCGCCUGGGGAGUACGGCCGCAAGGUUAAAACUCAAAUGAAUUGACGG
This 914-nucleotide ribosomal RNA is filed under the name uncultured bacterium. RNAcentral describes it as "bacterial SSU rRNA". It matches the Rfam family "Bacterial small subunit ribosomal RNA", at positions 9 to 916 of the family's 1533-position model. The record is from RNAcentral.